CAUUCUCUGCAGUGUUAGUUAGUGAUCUUGUUUAAACCCUUGAGCCUAAUUAUAAAACCCGGAGACUGAAGCAACAUGGUUGUUGUGCAUGCCUGGCCCUAGCUUGCUAGGAAACCGGGAAGCCUGAUACCGUGCCGAAGUUUCCACCUGAACCUCCCGGUUCAAGGUUGAUAGACACGACGGCAUUGCGGAGAGUGU
This 198-nucleotide non-coding RNA is filed under the name Gammaproteobacteria bacterium. Its description in RNAcentral is "6S RNA". It matches the Rfam family "6S / SsrS RNA". Rfam says of the family: E. coli 6S RNA was the first non coding RNA to be sequenced, but its function was unknown until recently. It consists of 184 nucleotides that fold into an extended hairpin structure with a large single-stranded internal bulge. Lineage: Bacteria; Pseudomonadati; Pseudomonadota; Gammaproteobacteria. The record is from RNAcentral.